RNAcentral lists this ribosomal RNA (253 nucleotides) under uncultured bacterium. RNAcentral describes it as "partial 16S ribosomal RNA". It matches the Rfam family "Bacterial small subunit ribosomal RNA", at positions 524 to 776 of the family's 1533-position model. The record is from RNAcentral. RNAcentral also lists the same sequence under 1 other name.
UACGGAGGGUGCGAGCGUUAAUCGGAAUUACUGGGCGUAAAGCGCGCGUAGGCGGUUACGUAAGUCGGAUGUGAAAGCCCCGGGCUUAACCUGGGAAUCGCAUUCGAUACUGCGUGGCUAGAGUCUGGUAGAGGCUAGCGGAAUUCCAGGUGUAGCGGUGAAAUGCGUAGAUAUCUGGAGGAACAUCAGUGGCGAAGGCGGCUGGCUGGACCAAGACUGACGCUGAGGUGCGAAAGCGUGGGGAUCAAACAGG